This 822-nucleotide long non-coding RNA is filed under the name Junco hyemalis (dark-eyed junco). Its description in RNAcentral is "lncRNA (ENSJHYG00000003495.1)". Lineage: Eukaryota; Metazoa; Chordata; Aves; Passeriformes; Passerellidae. The record is from RNAcentral.
AAAGCCAGAAUCACAGAAAGGGCAAAGCUGGGUGGCAGCAGGGGCUGAGCACAACUUGCAUGUGAGCCACAGUUUGGGGAUGCACCUUAGCACACCCUCUGCUCUCUGGAUUUUGGGGAAAUGGCCACAGCCUGGAUUCCUGCGCUCAGCAAAGGAGCAAUGGAGCAUCCCAGAUGGGACCUGCCAGCUUUGAAAGCAGCAGCGACCGCGAUGCUGCAACGCCCGCCAUGGCUUGGCUUCAUGACAGCUGAUCUACAAUUGCUAGUGAAGGAGACAGAAGAGGUUAAUCAUCCACCCAAGUGACUGCAGGCAGCCCAACAAAUAAGCAGAGAUCAGCCCAGAGGCCCUCAGCUCAUGUAAAUCAGCAUCGUUUCAUCAAGCCUGGAGCUUACACCAUCAUGCACUCACUCAGGAUCUAAAACCCAAAUGUGUAAAUGAAAAUGAUGCUAAUUACAGUUCACCACCAAGAAGCACUACCUUAAUUUUAAGGAAAUGAAGGAAACGGGCUUGCUCCGUGACAGCCGAUAUCAUAUUGCCAUACAACUAACUUAAAGUUGUAUAAGUUAGAUUAUAACUUUUGAAGAAGCAAUUAUGAUUUUAUUGCACCCACUCUGCUGAUGAUUAAUGCAGAGAGCCUAGGGGAAAAUGCAUCCUAUCAUUUGCUAACAUGCACUAUAAUUAUGCAUACCUCUCCAGGUACUGUAAUUUAGGACUUAAAGAGCAACAUUCUGAACGAGGACUGCUGCACUUGUAAAACAUUACAGAUGUGUUAUCAUAUAAAUGAGGUAGCUUUGACAUGAUAGUGUUCUAAUAAAUCCUCAG